Molecule: ribosomal RNA, 555 nt
Filed under: uncultured bacterium
Lineage: Bacteria
Description: partial 16S ribosomal RNA
Rfam family: Bacterial small subunit ribosomal RNA
Source: RNAcentral
UGGGGAAUUUUGGACAAUGGGGGAAACCCUGAUCCAGCCAUCCCGCGUGUGCGAUGAAGGCCUUCGGGUUGUAAAGCACUUUUGGCAGGAAAGAAACGUCGCGGGUUAAUACCCCGCGAAACUGACGGUACCUGCAGAAUAAGCACCGGCUAACUACGUGCCAGCAGCCGCGGUAAUACGUAGGGUGCAAGCGUUAAUCGGAAUUACUGGGCGUAAAGCGUGCGCAGGCGGUUCGGAAAGAAAGAUGUGAAAUCCCAGAGCUUAACUUUGGAACUGCAUUUUUAACUACCGGGCUAGAGUGUGUCAGAGGGAGGUGGAAUUCCGCGUGUAGCAGUGAAAUGCGUAGAUAUGCGGAGGAACACCGAUGGCGAAGGCAGCCUCCUGGGAUAACACUGACGCUCAUGCACGAAAGCGUGGGGAGCAAACAGGAUUAGAUACCCUGGUAGUCCACGCCCUAAAACGAUGUCAACUAGCUGUUGGGGCCUUCGGGCCUUGGUAGCGCAGCUAACGCGUGAAGUUGACCGCCUGGGGAGUACGGUCGCAAGAUUAAAACUC